This 571-nucleotide ribosomal RNA is filed under the name uncultured bacterium. RNAcentral's name for it is "partial 16S ribosomal RNA". It matches the Rfam family "Bacterial small subunit ribosomal RNA", at positions 355 to 920 of the family's 1533-position model. The record is from RNAcentral.
UGGGGAAUUUUGGACAAUGGGCGAAAGCCUGAUCCAGCAAUGCCGCGUGUGUGAAGAAGGCCUUCGGGUUGUAAAGCACUUUUGUCCGGAAAGAAAUCCUUGGCUCUAAUACAGUCGGGGGAUGACGGUACCGGAAGAAUAAGCACCGGCUAACUACGUGCCAGCAGCCGCGGUAAUACGUAGGGUGCAAGCGUUAAUCGGAAUUACUGGGCGUAAAGCGUGCGCAGGCGGUUUGCUAAGACCGAUGUGAAAUCCCCGGGCUCAACCUGGGAACUGCAUUGGUGACUGGCAGGCUAGAGUAUGGCAGAGGGGGGUAGAAUUCCACGUGUAGCAGUGAAAUGCGUAGAGAUGUGGAGGAAUACCGAUGGCGAAGGCAGCCCCCUGGGCCAAUACUGACGCUCAUGCACGAAAGCGUGGGGAGCAAACAGGAUUAGAUACCCUGGUAGUCCACGCCCUAAACGAUGUCAACUAGUUGUUGGGGAUUCAUUCCUUAGUAACGUAGCUAACGCGUGAAGUUGACCGCCUGGGGAGUACGGUCGCAAGAUUAAAACUUAAAUGAAUUGACGGGGUC